Molecule: ribosomal RNA, 388 nt
Filed under: Staphylococcus aureus
Lineage: Bacteria; Bacillati; Bacillota; Bacilli; Caryophanales; Staphylococcaceae
Description: bacterial SSU rRNA
Rfam family: Bacterial small subunit ribosomal RNA
Source: RNAcentral
UUUAUGGAGAGUUUGAUCCUGGCUCAGGAUGAACGCUGGCGGCGUGCCUAAUACAUGCAAGUCGAGCGAACGGACGAGAAGCUUGCUUCUCUGAUGUUAGCGGCGGACGGGUGAGUAACACGUGGAUAACCUACCUAUAAGACUGGGAUAACUUCGGGAAACCGGAGCUAAUACCGGAUAAUAUUUUAAACCGCAUGGUUCAAAAGUGAAAGACGGUCUUGCUGUCACUUAUAGAUGGAUCCGCGCUGCAUUAGCUAGUUGGUAAGGUAACGGCUUACCAAGGCAACGAUGCAUAGCCGACCUGAGAGGGUGAUCGGCCACACUGGAACUGAGACACGGUCCAGACUCCUACGGGAGGCAGCAGUAGGGAAUCUUCCGCAAUGGGCGA